This 468-nucleotide ribosomal RNA is filed under the name Mycobacterium tuberculosis. RNAcentral's name for it is "bacterial LSU rRNA". It matches the Rfam family "Bacterial large subunit ribosomal RNA", at positions 980 to 1448 of the family's 2925-position model. Lineage: Bacteria; Bacillati; Actinomycetota; Actinomycetes; Mycobacteriales; Mycobacteriaceae. The record is from RNAcentral.
GGAGACAGAGCACCGGGUGCUAACGUCCGGACUCAAGAGGGAAACAACCCAGACCGCCAGCUAAGGUCCCUAAAAUUGGCUAAGUGGGAAACGAAGUGGGAAGGCUAAAACAGUCAGGAUGUUGGCUUAGAAGCAGCCAUCAUUUAAAGAAAGCGUAAUAGCUCACUGAUCGAGUCGUCCUGCGCGGAAGAUGUAACGGGGCUAAGCCAGUUACCGAAGCUGCGGAUUUGCAAUUUAUUGCAAGUGGUAGGAGAGCGUUCUGUAAGCCUGUGAAGGUGCGUUGUAAAGCGUGCUGGAGGUAUCAGAAGUGCGAAUGCUGACAUGAGUAGCGUUAAAGGGGGUGAAAAGCCCCCUCGCCGUAAGCGCAAGGUUUUCUACGCAACGUUCAUCGGCGUAGAGUGAGUCGGCCCCUAAGGCGAGGCAGAGAUGCGUAGCUGAUGGGAAACAGGUCAAUAUUCCUGUACCGAU